Molecule: long non-coding RNA, 425 nt
Organism: Electrophorus electricus (electric eel)
Lineage: Eukaryota; Metazoa; Chordata; Actinopteri; Gymnotiformes; Gymnotidae
Source: RefSeq, a predicted model, not a curated record
AUCACCACAUUCAUCAUCACACAUCAGUCCACAGUUCACCAAACCAACCACAUCCUCAGGAGCUUCCUCUCCUGAUACAGGAUUUCCAUAUUCCACUGUGAUCAGUGUUGUGUGUGUGAUUCUGGUGCUGCUUCUGAUGGGAACCUCAUUUCUCACAGUGACUCUCAGAAAGAGAAGCAGAAAGGAGCAGGCAUCGUCCAAAGGCCAGUCCGUCCAAGACUCCUCACACAGCCAUGGGGUGAGUCAUGACUGUAUCACACAUCUAUGGGAUGAGUCAUAACUAUCACACAGCCAUGGGGUGAGUCAUGACUGUGGGUCAUUAGCAGGCCUACACCUGUAAUAGAAUUACAAUGCCUUUUCUAGCACAGUCACAAGGAGGCCUGAUGUGUGUGAGCAUGGUUACAUACAGGCUACAAGAAAUCUUA